This 382-nucleotide ribosomal RNA is filed under the name Nephasoma diaphanes. Its description in RNAcentral is "SSU rRNA". It matches the Rfam family "Eukaryotic small subunit ribosomal RNA", at positions 24 to 398 of the family's 1831-position model. Lineage: Eukaryota; Metazoa; Annelida; Sipuncula; Golfingiida; Golfingiidae. The record is from RNAcentral.
UCAUAUGCUUGUCUCAAAGAUUAAGCCAUGCAUGUGUAAGCACAGGCCUUUAACACGGCGAAGCUGCGAAUGGCUCAUUAGAUCGGCUAGUAUUUAUUAGAUCAUACCACACUACUUGGAUAACUGUGGUAAUUCUAGAGCUAAUACAUGCAACACUGCCCUGACCGCGAGGGAGGGGCGAGUUUAUUAGAUCAAAACCAACCGGUCCGCAAGGGCCGAGCCCGUUGGUGACUCAGGAUAACUUUGGUCUGAUCGCAUGGCCUUGCGCCGGCGACGUAUCUUUCAAAUGUCCGCCCUAUCAAGUUUCGUAUGUCGGUGCUAUGCCCACAUAGCUUCUUACGGGUAACGGGGAAUCAGGGUUCGAUUCCGGAGAGGGAGCCUA